GUCCACGCCGUAAACGAUGGGUACUAGGUGUAGGGGGUAUAGACUCCCCCUGUGCCGUCGCAAACGCAAUAAGUACCCCGCCUGGGGGAGUACGGUCGCAAGACUAAAACUCAAAGGAAUUGACGGGGGCCCGCACAAGCAGCGGAGCAUGUGGUUUAAUUCGAGGCAACGCGAAGAACCUUACCUGGACUUGACAUCUCCUGAAUUACCCUUAAUCGGGGAAGCCCUUCGGGGCAGGAAGACAGGUGGUGCAUGGUUGUCGU
This 263-nucleotide ribosomal RNA is filed under the name uncultured bacterium. RNAcentral's name for it is "partial 16S ribosomal RNA". It matches the Rfam family "Bacterial small subunit ribosomal RNA", at positions 793 to 1055 of the family's 1533-position model. The record is from RNAcentral.